Molecule: ribosomal RNA, 459 nt
Filed under: uncultured bacterium
Lineage: Bacteria
Description: partial 16S ribosomal RNA
Rfam family: Bacterial small subunit ribosomal RNA
Source: RNAcentral
CCUACGGGGGGCUGCAGUGAGGAAUAUUGGUCAAUGGUCGGGAGACUGAACCAGCCAAGCCGCGUGAGGGAUGAAGGUACAGAGUAUCGUAAACCUCUUUUGUCAGGGAACAAAGGCGGGGACGCGUCCCCGGAUGAGUGUACCUGAAGAAAAAGCAUCGGCUAACUCCGUGCCAGCAGCCGCGGUAAUACGGAGGAUGCGAGCGUUAUCCGGAUUUAUUGGGUUUAAAGGGUGCGCAGGCGGUUUGUUAAGUCAGCGGUCAAAGCCCGGGGCACACCCCCGGCCCGCCGUUGAAACUGGCAGUCUCGAGUUGGAGAGAGGUAUGCGGAAUGCGCGGUGUAGCGGUGAAAUGCAUAGAUAUCACGAAGAACUCCGAUUGCGAAGGCAGCAUACCGGCGCCCAACUGACGCUCAUGCACGAAAGCGUGGGUAUCGAACAGGAUUAGAUACCCUUGUAGUA